This 399-nucleotide ribosomal RNA is filed under the name Idiomarina baltica OS145. RNAcentral's name for it is "bacterial SSU rRNA". It matches the Rfam family "Bacterial small subunit ribosomal RNA", at positions 1137 to 1533 of the family's 1533-position model. The record is from RNAcentral. Lineage: Bacteria; Pseudomonadati; Pseudomonadota; Gammaproteobacteria; Alteromonadales; Idiomarinaceae.
ACUCUGGGGAGACUGCCGGUGAUAAACCGGAGGAAGGUGGGGACGACGUCAAGUCAUCAUGGCCCUUACGGGAUGGGCUACACACGUGCUACAAUGGCGCGUACAAAGGGCAGCGAACCUGCGAGGGUAAGCGAAUCUCAUAAAGCGCGUCGUAGUCCGGAUUGGAGUCUGCAACUCGACUCCAUGAAGUCGGAAUCGCUAGUAAUCGUGGAUCAGAAUGCCACGGUGAAUACGUUCCCGGGCCUUGUACACACCGCCCGUCACACCAUGGGAGUGGGCUGCACCAGAAGUGGUUAGUUUAACCUUCGGGAGAACGAUCACCACGGUGUGGUUCAUGACUGGGGUGAAGUCGUAACAAGGUAGCCGUAGGGGAACCUGCGGCUGGAUCACCUCCUUACA